RNAcentral lists this ribosomal RNA (468 nucleotides) under uncultured bacterium. Its description in RNAcentral is "partial 16S ribosomal RNA". It matches the Rfam family "Bacterial small subunit ribosomal RNA", at positions 28 to 507 of the family's 1533-position model. The record is from RNAcentral.
GACGAACGCUGGCGGCGUGCUUAACACAUGCAAGUCGAACGGAAAGGCCCUGCUUCUGUGGGGUGCUCGAGUGGCGAACGGGUGAGUAACACGUGAGUAACCUGCCCUUGACUUUGGGAUAACUUCAGGAAACUGGGGCUAAUACCGGGUAGGAGCUCCUGCUGCAUGGUGGGGGUUGGAAAGUUUCGGCGGUUGGGGAUGGACUCGCGGCUUAUCAGCUUGUUGGUGGGGUAGUGGCUUACCAAGGCUUUGACGGGUAGCCGGCCUGAGAGGGUGACCGGCCACAUUGGGACUGAGAUACGGCCCAGACUCCUACGGGAGGCAGCAGUGGGGAAUAUUGCACAAUGGGCGGAAGCCUGAUGCAGCAACGCCGCGUGCGGGAUGACGGCCUUCGGGUUGUAAACCGCUUUCGCCUGUGACGAAGCGUGAGUGACGGUAAUGGGUAAAGAAGCACCGGCUAACUACGUG